GACGAACGCUGGCGGCGUGCUUAACACAUGCAAGUCGAGCGGUAAGGCCCUUUCGGGGGUACACGAGCGGCGAACGGGUGAGUAACACGUGGGUGACCUGCCCUCAGCUCUGGGAUAAGCCUGGGAAACCGGGUCUAAUACUGGAUAUGACUCCAUGACGCAUGUUGUGGGGUGGAAAGCCUUGUGCGGCUGAGGAUGGGCCCGCGGCCUAUCAGCUUGUUGGUGGGGGAUGGCCUACCAAGGCGACGACGGGUAGCCGGCCUGAGAGGGCGACCGGCCACACUGGGACUGAGACACGGCCCAGACUCCUACGGGAGGCAGCAGUGGGGAAUCUUGCGCAAUGGGCGAAAGCCUGACGCAGCGACGCCGCGUGAGGGAUGACGGCCUGGUGU
Molecule: ribosomal RNA, 392 nt
Filed under: uncultured bacterium
Lineage: Bacteria
Description: bacterial SSU rRNA
Rfam family: Bacterial small subunit ribosomal RNA
Source: RNAcentral